CUGGAGGUAUCAGAAGUGCGAAUGCUGACAUAAGUAACGAUAAAGCGGGUGAAAAGCCCGCUCGCCGGAAGACCAAGGGUUCCUGUCCAACGUUAAUCGGGGCAGGGUGAGUCGACCCCUAAGGCGAGGCCGAAAGGCGUAGUCGAUGGGAAACGGGUUAAUAUUCCCGUACUUGGUGUUACUGCGAAGGGGGGACGGAGAAGGCUAUGUUGGCCGGGCGACGGUUGUCCCGGUUUAAGCGUGUAGGUGUGUGUUCCAGGUAAAUCCGGUUCACUUUAACACUGAGGCGUGAUGACGAGGCACUACGGUGCUGAAGCAACAAAUGCCCUGCUUCCAGGAAAAGC
This 344-nucleotide ribosomal RNA is filed under the name Salmonella enterica subsp. enterica serovar Chester. RNAcentral's name for it is "partial 23S ribosomal RNA". It matches the Rfam family "Bacterial large subunit ribosomal RNA", at positions 1273 to 1618 of the family's 2925-position model. Lineage: Bacteria; Pseudomonadati; Pseudomonadota; Gammaproteobacteria; Enterobacterales; Enterobacteriaceae. The record is from RNAcentral.